This 253-nucleotide ribosomal RNA is filed under the name uncultured bacterium. Its description in RNAcentral is "partial 16S ribosomal RNA". It matches the Rfam family "Bacterial small subunit ribosomal RNA", at positions 524 to 776 of the family's 1533-position model. The record is from RNAcentral.
UACAGAGGGUGCGAGCGUUAAUCGGAAUUACUGGGCGUAAAGCGUGCGUAGACGGCUAUCUAAGUCGGGUGUGAAAGCCCCGGGCUCAACCUGGGAAUUGCAUUCGAGACUGAAUAGCUAGGGUACGGUAGAGGGAAGUGGAAUUUCCGGUGUAGCGGUGAAAUGCGUAGAUAUCAGGAGGAACACCCGUAGCGAAGGCGGCACUCUGGGCCGAUACUGACACUGAGGAGCGAAAGCGUGGGGAGCGAACAGG